UGCCAGCCGCCGCGGUAAUACGAAGGGGGCUAGCGUUGUUCGGAAUUACUGGGCGUAAAGGGCGCGUAAGCGGACUGAUCAGUUUGGUGUGAAAGCCCGGGGCUCAACCUCGGAAUAGCAUCAAAUACUGUCAGUCUAGAAUCCCGGAGGGGAGUGUGGAAUUUCUAGUGUAGAGGUGAAAUUCGUAGAUAUUAGAAAGAACACCGGUGGCGAAGGCGACACUCUGGACGGGUAUUGACGCUGAGAUGCGAAGGCAUGGGUAGCAAACGGGAUUAGAUA
This 279-nucleotide ribosomal RNA is filed under the name uncultured bacterium. RNAcentral describes it as "partial 16S ribosomal RNA". It matches the Rfam family "Bacterial small subunit ribosomal RNA", at positions 506 to 784 of the family's 1533-position model. The record is from RNAcentral.